Molecule: ribosomal RNA, 253 nt
Filed under: uncultured bacterium
Lineage: Bacteria
Description: partial 16S ribosomal RNA
Rfam family: Bacterial small subunit ribosomal RNA
Source: RNAcentral
UACGUAGGGGGCGAGCGUUGUCCGGAUUUAUUGGGCGUAAAGAGCUCGUAGGCGGCUCGUCGCGUCGACCGUGAAAACCCGCGGCUUAACUGCGGGCUUGCGGUUGAUACGGGCGGGCUAGAGUUCGGUAGGGGAGACUGGAAUUCCUGGUGUAGCGGUGAAAUGCGCAGAUAUCAGGAGGAACACCGGUGGCGAAGGCGGGUCUCUGGGCCGAUACUGACGCUGAGGAGCGAAAGCGUGGGGAGCGAACAGG